CAAGUCGAGCGCCCCGCAAGGGGAGCGGCGGACGGGUGAGUAACACGUAAAGAAUCUGCCCUGAAGCGGGGAAUAACUAUCCCAACGGAUAGCUAAUACCGCAUAAUGAUGGAGGAGGCAUCUCCUUUUCUCAAAAGGCUUCGGCCACUUCAGGAUGACUUUGCGUCCCAUUAGCUUGUUGGCGGGGUAACGGCCCACCAAGGCUACGAUGGGUAUCCGGCCUGAGAGGGUGUACGGACACAUUGGGACUGAGAUACGGCCCAGACUCCUACGGGAGGCAGCAGUAGGGAAUUUUGCGCAAUGGGGGAAACCCUGACGCAGCAACGCCAUGUGUGGGAUGAAGCAUUUCGGUGUGUAAACCACUGUCAGCGGGGAAUAAACGGCAGCUUCGGGCUGCUUUGAAUGUACCCGCAAAGGAAGCCCCGGCUAACUUCGUGCCAGCAGCCGCGGUAAUACGAGGGGGGCAAAUGUUGUUCGGAAUCACUGGGCGUAAAGGGAGCGUAGGCGGGUUCUUAAGUUAGGUGUUUAAUCCCGGGGCCCAACCCCGGACCGGCACUUAAAACUGGGAAUCUUGAAUAGUGGAGAGGUCGGUGGAAUUGGGGGUGUAGCGGUGGAAUGCGUAGAGAUCCCCAAGAACACCAGUUGCGAAGGCGGCCGACUGGACACAUAUUGACGCUGAGGCUCGAAAGCAUGGGGAGCAAACAGGAUUAGAUACCCUGGUAGUCCAUGCCAUAAACGAUGAAUACUAGGUUUUGGGCCCGUCAAACGGUCCAGAGCCGCAGCUAACGCGUU
Molecule: ribosomal RNA, 792 nt
Filed under: uncultured Fibrobacterota bacterium
Lineage: Bacteria; Pseudomonadati; Fibrobacterota
Description: bacterial SSU rRNA
Rfam family: Bacterial small subunit ribosomal RNA
Source: RNAcentral